UUGAGUUCACGCGUGAGGGACU
This 22-nucleotide unclassified non-coding RNA is filed under the name Chlamydomonas reinhardtii. Its description in RNAcentral is "small RNA Cre_3914". Lineage: Eukaryota; Viridiplantae; Chlorophyta; Chlorophyceae; Chlamydomonadales; Chlamydomonadaceae. The record is from RNAcentral.